CGAAGGCGAAAGUCUUUAACUGUCACCUGAAAAAAAUUACAACUGAGACUGUCAGUCUCGAGAGUGAGUCAAAAUCAAAUAAUCUAAGGGCUUUUGCAACCUUCACAUGAUAUAUUAAUUAUUCAAAACAAUAUACCAAUUUCUGAAUAUAAUUGCAGUCAUAAUAUAAAAUCAUACACCAUAAUAAUAAAAUGAUAAAAGGAGAGUGUAAAUAAAUAAAGACAUUUUUACUUUCACGGGACGUGUGGCUAAGUAGAACCCUAACCCCAAAUUCUAACAGCCACUUUAGCUCUCUUAAUCCAAUAAGACUGGCGCCCCGAGAGCAAUGCUCGACCAGGGACCUUACCUCCAGUCUGGUCACUUAAAUAUCCAAAUAAGAAAUCUAGUAGCCAUUCGGCUCUCUUAAUCCAAUAAGACUGGCGCCCCGAGAGCAAUGUUCGACCAGGGACCUUACCUCCAGUCUGGUCACUUAAAUAUCCAAAUAAGCCGGCGCCCCGAGAGCAAUGCUCGACCAGGGACCUUACCUCCGGCAAUUUACACAAAUCAGCCCAGAGAGCCAUGCUCGACCAGGGCAAACCCAUAAAUAUCUUAUUACAUGUCCAUGAUCAUUACCGGUGCGCACGCGGUCCUGAUGUAACCCAUCAGGCGGCAUGUUCUACAAGCCACAUUUCCCAAUUCGCAAUCAUCACAUAUAAUAAAUAUCAUUAUCUGAUGAACUCAACCAACACAUAUCGAAAUAAAGAUUAAAGAUUUAAGGUAAAACAACGUGCAAUUUGCGAGGGGAAAAAUAAUAACGCUUAUCUUAUUAUAAGAUACUAAUAAUAAUAUUUAUAUUAUUUCAAAUAUUAAUAAUCAAGUGAAAUCAUUUACCUUGCGAUACUAAUAAUCAUAUUAAGCACAAAUUCUAAAUAGCAUAUUAAAAUCAGACUAGCAAUAGCGCAAAGAUUAAAUGACUUUAACUCACAGAUUUGAUGCGUUCCACAGUCCGCUCCUACGCCUCGGGUGGAGCUGGCGGGAAGGCUGAAUUAUCUAAUAACAAAAGACAUACAAUUAAUAGACAUUCGAAAAUUUUUCCUAAACUUAGACCCUAAGGUCGACUGCCUAGAAUUAAAUUGGACUCGAGGAUUCUGCCGAAAAUUUGACAAAACCUCCCCUAAAUUACGGAUAUUUACCCCCCGUAAAACGGGUCCAGGACCUGCCAAAAACAUAUCAGACAUGCUGGAAUUUAAUAACAGGAGCCGGGCCACAAGAACUGCAUUAAUAUUUUCCCGACUCCAAAACACCACAAUCCAAACAAUUCAAUUUGAUUUAUUUUUAAACUACCCAACACAAGCAAUUAAUAGCCUCAAUAACUUUCUAAUAUUAUAACAAAAUUUUUCAGAGUCUAAUAAAAUUAUACCGAGUUGAAAAUUAAAAUAUUUCGCACGUCCAGAAAACACUGGGGUCCGGAAGCCGGUCCCGCCAACAGUGUCGGAAUUCAAAUCCGGAAGCGCCUACGCGAAGCUCAAGUUGCGGAGAGUCCGGAAGGACAAGAGUUUUGGCCGGAAAGUGGCCGGAAGGCGGCGGAUCGGGGCCGGAAAGUCGCUGCUCACGCGACACCUUUCAAGGCUGCCGGCAAGGAUUUCCGACGGAGGAGGGUUGCUUCAAGGGUUUUCGGGGGUGGGGAGUCCGAUUCCGGCGCCAGAUCGCCGAAAACAAGCCGGCAAGAGGCCGAACGGCGAAGACAACUCCCUACCUUCGGCUAACGUCGGCGGAAAGGAGGAAAGGGGAAGGAGAGCUGCUGCAGAGCGGCGGGAAGGGAGGAAGG
This 1807-nucleotide long non-coding RNA is filed under the name Ricinus communis (castor bean). RNAcentral's name for it is "long non-coding RNA (RCOM_LNC000677)". The record is from RNAcentral. Lineage: Eukaryota; Viridiplantae; Streptophyta; Magnoliopsida; Malpighiales; Euphorbiaceae.